GACGAACGCUGGCGGCGUGCUUAACACAUGCAAGUCGAACGAUGAUGCCAGCUUGCUGGUGGAUUAGUGGCGAACGGGUGAGUAGCACGUGAGCAACCUGCCCCUGACUUCGGGAUAACCGCGGGAAACCGUGGCUAAUACCGGAUAUGACGCGCUAUCGCAUGGUGGUGUGUGGAAAGAUUUAUCGGUUGGGGAUGGGCUCGCGGCCUAUCAGCUUGUUGGUGGGGUGAUGGCCUACCAAGGCGACGACGGGUAGCCGGCCUGAGAGGGUGACCGGCCACACUGGGACUGAGACACGGCCCAGACUCCUACGGGAGGCAGCAGUGGGGAAUAUUGCACAAUGGGCGCAAGCCUGAUGCAGCGACGCCGCGUGAGGGAUGACGGCCUUCGGGUUGUAAACCUCUUUCAGUAGGGAAGAAGGCCUUCGGGUUGACGGUACCUGCAGAAGAAGCGCCGGCUAACUACGUG
Molecule: ribosomal RNA, 468 nt
Filed under: uncultured bacterium
Lineage: Bacteria
Description: partial 16S ribosomal RNA
Rfam family: Bacterial small subunit ribosomal RNA
Source: RNAcentral